Molecule: ribosomal RNA, 381 nt
Filed under: uncultured marine Chaetocerotaceae
Lineage: Eukaryota; Bacillariophyta; Thalassiosirophyceae; Chaetocerotales; Chaetocerotaceae
Description: SSU rRNA
Rfam family: Eukaryotic small subunit ribosomal RNA
Source: RNAcentral
AGCUCCAAUAGCGUAUAUUAAAGUUGCUGCAGUUAAAAAGCUCGUAGUUGCAUUUCCGAGGCAAGGGAUUAGUCCGACCUUUGGUGGGUAUUUAAUCCUCUUGCCUCGUCCUUGAGUGGUGCUUCUUGGUAUUAAGUUAUCGAGGAGAUAGCCGCUCAUCGUUUACUGUGAGAAAAUUAGAGUGUUCAAAGCAGGCUUAUGCCGUUGAAUAUAUUAGCAUGGAAUAAUAAGAUAGGACCUCGGUACUAUUUGUUUGGUUUGAGAACCAAGGUAAUGAUGAAUAGGGACAGUUGGGGGUAUUCGUAUUCAGUUGUCAGAGGUGAAAUUCUUAGAUUUACGGAAGACGAACUACUGCGAAAGCAUUUACCAAGGAUGUUUUCA